CGCACCUUGCGCUCCUUGGUAUUCCGAGGAGCAUGCCUGUUUGAGUGUCGUGAAAUCAUCAACUCAUAUUACUUUUGUGACAUGAGCUUGGAUUUGGAAGCUGCUGGCUCUUGAAGUUGGCUCUUCUUGAAUGCAUUAGCUGGAUUUGAUUUGCAGCAUAUAUGCGGUGUGAUAAUGUCUUCACUGUGUAGCUCAAGUCAUUUGGCUUCUAACCGUCCUUCCGGACAAUUUUGACUAUCAAGACCUCAAAUCAGGUAGGACUACCCGCUGAACUUAA
Molecule: unclassified non-coding RNA, 277 nt
Filed under: Xylodon sp.
Lineage: Eukaryota; Fungi; Basidiomycota; Agaricomycetes; Hymenochaetales; Schizoporaceae
Description: partial contains 5.8S ribosomal RNA, internal transcribed spacer 2, and large subunit ribosomal RNA
Source: RNAcentral